This is a long non-coding RNA of Dermacentor silvarum, 637 nucleotides long. RefSeq lists it as uncharacterized. The record is from RefSeq and is a predicted model, not a curated record. NCBI's taxonomy places the organism in Eukaryota, Metazoa, Arthropoda, Arachnida, Ixodida, Ixodidae. The transcript has 3 exons.
GGUCGCUGGGCCUCGCAUGCUUCACGACGCGUUUCCCGAAGCCUCGGACCACGAAUAAAUCCUGGUGUGCAUUUACUGACAUUUUCAGACCGCGCUGAUGCCAUGCCGUCCGGCGGUCCAAGCUACGGCAGCUACUGCUGUGUUUCGUGGUGCUUGAACAAUGGCAGAACCCACAAGAAGCCAGGGACGAGUUUCUUCCGCAUACCACGGGACGGCAGGUGCGCUAAAGCUUUUGUAUGGUUUGCAUGUCUUCAAGGUUACUUUUCGUGCUUGCUCAGUGAGGCUAACAAUAACAAAAUCACUGUUCGAGCACUUCGCCUUCAGCUGAUAGUUCAUUGCCGAUGCAGGAUGACAGCAUGGAUGCAGUAUGCCGGACGAGAUGAUCUCCUGAGUAAGCCGGCCAGCCUAUUGUACGCAACGUACAGGGUUUGCAGCGACCAUUUUACUGCUGAUAGUUUCAUGGACCCUGGGCACACAAGGCUUACAAGAAUGGCUGUUCCCUGUGUGCAACCAAUUGCACCAUGUUCUCUGAGCAUCGCUUCAAGUAGUGACUGGGACAUGACUCCAGAAGCCUCACUGCAAGGGUCUGCGGCAGAGGCUUCGAAAAGCGGCUCCCACACAUUGAAGUGCCCCGAGG